UUUGAGUUGUUUGGUUUCCCGAAAUAAUAAGAGCUAGGAGAAAGGAUUGAAAUUUAUUCGUGGUAUAGGGUUAUUUAAGUUUUUUUUAGUGAUGAUAUGUUAUUCGUUUAUUGUGAUAUCUGGUUUUCUUGGAAAUGAAUUUAGUUCAUGUCUUAUUAUGCUUUAUUGUAUAUUUUAUGAUUAGUUAGUAUAUUUGGACUUAGUAAAACAGGGAUAAGCUUGUUUUAUUUUUCAAUAAUUUGUUGUUUGUUUAUUAUGUCUUGGGUUUUGAGUCUGUCAUAGAUGUUAGAGUUCGUUGUAGAUUAGUUAUAUUGAUUGUUUCUGUGUAUUUUGUUUAAUGUACAUGAAUGUUUUAUGGUAUUUUUAUUUUUUAGUAAUUAUGUUUGAAUUAGUAGGGGUAUAUUGUUAUAGUGUUGUUUUGGAUUUGUUGUUUAUUGGGUUGUGGUUGGAAAUGUUAUGAAGGAACUCGGCAAAUAACUUCUCUGCCUGUUUAUCAAAAACAUGGCUUCUUGUUGGAGAUAAGAGGUCUUUUCCUGCUCGCUGCUUUGUUAAAGUAAAGGGCUUGCAGUAUACUUGACUGUACGAAGGUAGCAUAAUAAAUUGCCUAUUGAUUGUUGGCUGGUAUGAAUGGAAUGACAAGGGAUUAACUGUCUCCAUAAUAUUUUGAUUGAAGUUCACAUUUUGGUGAAGAGGCCAAAAUUUUGCCARGGGACGAUAAGACCCUAUAGAUUUUUAUUUUUUAUAAUUGCUUGGUUUAUUAUGUGUUAUGCUUAUGAUUUGUUUUUAAUUAAUUUAGCUGGGGCGGCUAUUGAAGAUGAGGAUCUUCAGUUGAUUUUUGGCAGAUUUGUUUGUAGUGAUCCUUUAUUAUGGAUAAUAAGAUUAAAAUACCUUAGGGAUAACAGCGUUAUUUCUCUUGAGAGUUCUUAUCGAUAGGGAAGUUUGCGACCUCGAUGUUGAAUUAAGAGUAAGAUUAGGGUGUAGGGGCUUUAAUUACUGGGUCUGUUCGACCUUUUAUUUUUUACGUGAUCUGAGUUCAGACCGGMCCUAUAGUGAG
This 1054-nucleotide ribosomal RNA is filed under the name Lasionectes exleyi. Its description in RNAcentral is "partial large subunit ribosomal RNA". The stretch from base 677 to 1054 matches the Rfam family "Bacterial large subunit ribosomal RNA", at positions 2045 to 2625 of the family's 2925-position model. Lineage: Eukaryota; Metazoa; Arthropoda; Remipedia; Nectiopoda; Speleonectidae. The record is from RNAcentral.